ACGUUCGGCCGAGUGGUCUAUGCGCUGGAUUUUUACUCCAGGGGUCAGUGGUUCGAGCCCAGUUGAGGGUU
Molecule: transfer RNA, 71 nt
Filed under: Dreissena polymorpha
Lineage: Eukaryota; Metazoa; Mollusca; Bivalvia; Myida; Dreissenidae
Description: tRNA-Lys
Source: RNAcentral